CCUACGGGGGACAGCAGUGGGGAAUAUUGCACAAUGGGGGAAACCCUGAUGCAGCGACGCCGCGUGAGUGAUGAAGUAUUUCGGUACGUAAAGCUCUAUCAGCAGGGAAGAAAAUGACGGUACCUGACUAACAAGCCACGGCUAACUCCGUGCCAGCAGCCGCGGUAAUACGGAGGGGGCGAGCGUUAACCGGAAUUACGGGGCGUAAAGUGAGCGUAGACGGCAGGGCAAGUCAAGGGUGAAAUCCCAGGGCUUAACCAUGGAACUGCCUUUGAAACUGGGCAACUAGAGUGCAGGAGAGGUUAGCGGAAUUCCUGGUGUAGCGGUGAAAUGCGUAGAUAUUAGGAGGAACAGCAGUGGCGAAGGCGGCUAACUGGACUGUAACUGACGUUGAGGCUCGAAAGCGUGGGUAGCAAACAGGAUUAGAUACCCUAGUAGUC
RNAcentral lists this ribosomal RNA (440 nucleotides) under uncultured bacterium. RNAcentral's name for it is "partial 16S ribosomal RNA". It matches the Rfam family "Bacterial small subunit ribosomal RNA", at positions 338 to 795 of the family's 1533-position model. The record is from RNAcentral.